UGCCAUUUCCAGAGAGAACAAACUGAAAUUGAACCGCUAACCUCCUUGUGCGGUUGUGCUGGUCCUCGCUGACCGGUCAGUCCGCCGGGGAGGCGAAAGAGAAAAUGAACAAGUCACCUGUGGCGAUUCGCCGAUUCCAAACGGCUCUCGACUUCCCGUCAAGAUGAGGGCGCGCGGCGCGCUCGUGGCGUUAAACGACGGGGGUAGAUGCUCGGGAGCUGUUCGACGGAAUGCCCAACCGGCACCAAAUACUACGGCUUACUAACGGACCGGCCCGCACUUCAGGCUGCUAGCUAUCGGAGGAGAAGAGCAAAAUGCAAUCGAAGAACGAAGGAGAAGAUGCGGCUGUUCAGGACUCCACCAGAGGCAGGCCACACACAACAGAAUCUGCAAAGCUAGGCCCCAAGACUGGUCAAGAUUAAAUGGCAAACUGAGCCAUCAGCAGCAAGGCAACUAGUAGGAUCGGAGCCGAUUGCUCUUAUAUAUGGUGCUAUCAGCUACGCCGAGGCAAGCGAGAGCGAGUCGAUGUCAUGUGGCUGACGCAGUAUGAGCCGCUCACUGGACACUGGUGAGUCUGACGAGGCUCCAACGUUGAUAGCUAGCGACUGCACGAAGGCUAAGGACAAAACGAGAUGAAGAGCAGAGCUGCAGAGGCGUCGUUCAGAGGUUGCCAUCGCCGCUUGUGUACUGACAAGUUUGGAUCCCCGUAGUUGCGGUUGGGUUGCCUUGCCUGCCGGCGACAUAUUCCUAAAUCCCUACCUUCUACUGUCGUGGCUGCUAGUAAUACAUGCUUUGCGGCAUUGUUUAUGUCAGUUGGUGCAUUUGGAGUCGCGUUUGUGUGUGUCUUAUACAUACGAGCAUCUACUUUAUUUGCGAUAAUCUUGUAUUUUCUGCUAGUUUGGAUAAGCUUUAAAAAUAUAAGGUCCAGUUUGUUUC
Molecule: long non-coding RNA, 936 nt
Organism: Zea mays
Lineage: Eukaryota; Viridiplantae; Streptophyta; Magnoliopsida; Poales; Poaceae
Exons: 2
Source: RefSeq, a predicted model, not a curated record